AAGCACGUUUGCUAUACAUAGCGAACUAUUCUUUCGCCUUUUACUAAAGAAUACCUUAUGCUUGCUUUUUCAAGUGGGGUACGCAUAUUUUUUGAAGAACCUCUUCUAUUAUAUU
Non-coding RNA from Helianthus annuus (common sunflower), 115 nucleotides. NCBI's taxonomy places the organism in Eukaryota, Viridiplantae, Streptophyta, Magnoliopsida, Asterales, Asteraceae. The record is from Rfam.